RNAcentral lists this ribosomal RNA (484 nucleotides) under uncultured bacterium. Its description in RNAcentral is "partial 16S ribosomal RNA". It matches the Rfam family "Bacterial small subunit ribosomal RNA", at positions 30 to 507 of the family's 1533-position model. The record is from RNAcentral.
AUUGAACGCUGGCGGCAGGCCUAACACAUGCAAGUCGAGCGGAUGAAGGGAGCUUGCUCCUGGAUUCAGCUGCGGACGGGUGGGUAAUGCCUAGGAAUCUGCCUGGUAGUUGGGGAUAACGUCCGUAAACGGGCGCUAAUACCGCAUACGUCCUUAGGGAGAAAGGGGGGGAUCUUCGGACCUCACGCUAUUAGAUGAGCCUACGUCGGAUUAGCUAGUUGGUGGGGUAAAGGCCUACCAAGGCGACGAUCCGUAACUGGUCUGAGAGGAUGAUCAGUCACACUGGAACUGAGACACGGUCCAGACUCCUACGGGAGGCAGCAGUGGGGAAUAUUGGACAAUGGGCGAAAGCCUGAUCCAGCCAUGCCGCGUGUGUGAAGAAGGUCUUCGGAUUGUAAAGCACUUUUAGUUGGGAGGAACAGCAGUAAGUUAAUACCUUGAUGUUUUGACGUUACCAAAAGAAUAAGCACCGGCUAACUUCGUG